RNAcentral lists this ribosomal RNA (451 nucleotides) under uncultured bacterium. RNAcentral's name for it is "partial 16S ribosomal RNA". It matches the Rfam family "Bacterial small subunit ribosomal RNA", at positions 28 to 507 of the family's 1533-position model. The record is from RNAcentral.
GAUGAACGCUGGCGGCGUGCCUAACACAUGCAAGUCGAGCGGCAGCGAGGGGUGCUUGCACCCUGUCGGCGAGCGGCGGACGGCUGAGUAACGCGUGGGAACGUGCCCCAAAGUGAGGAAUAACUGCCCGAAAGGGUAGCUAAUACCGCAUAUUAUCUUCGGAUCAAAGGAUUUAUCCGCUUUGGGAGCGGCUCGCGUCGGAUUAGGUAGUUGGUGAGGUAAUGGCUCACCAAGCCGACGAUCCGUAGCUGGUCUGAGAGGAUGACCAGCCAGACUGGAACUGAGACACGGUCCAGACUCCUACGGGAGGCAGCAGUGAGGGAUCUUCCACAAUGGGCGAAAGCCUGAUGGAGCAACGCCGCGUGCAGGACGAAGGCCUUCGGGUUGUAAACUGCUUUUAUAAGUGAGGAAUAUGACGGUAACUUAUGAAUAAGGAUCGGCUAACUACGUG